RNAcentral lists this ribosomal RNA (268 nucleotides) under uncultured bacterium. Its description in RNAcentral is "partial 16S ribosomal RNA". It matches the Rfam family "Bacterial small subunit ribosomal RNA", at positions 57 to 305 of the family's 1533-position model. The record is from RNAcentral.
GCAAGUCGAACGAGAUUUCUUAAUUAGAAGCUUCGGUGGACGAUUAAGAAUGAGAGUGGCAAACGGGUGCGUAACACGUGAACAAUCUGCCCUAAAGAUCGGAAUAGCUUGGGGAAACUCAAAUUAAUGCCGGAUGUGGCACGUCAACUCAUGUUGAUAGUGCUAAAGCUUGAAAUGGCGCUUUAGGAGGAGUUCGCGGCCUAUCAGCUUGUUGGUGAGGUAAUGGCUCACCAAGGCGACGAUCCCUAGCUGGUCUGAGAGGAUGAUC